Long non-coding RNA from Arachis duranensis, 158 nucleotides. RefSeq lists it as uncharacterized. NCBI's taxonomy places the organism in Eukaryota, Viridiplantae, Streptophyta, Magnoliopsida, Fabales, Fabaceae. The transcript is spliced from 3 exons. The record is from RefSeq and is a predicted model, not a curated record.
GGCUUACAUUCUUACCUUAUUUGCUAUGAAGUAUAGACAACGUGUACUUGGUUUGAUACUUGUUUCACCUCUAUGCAAAGAACCAUCUUGGACUGAGUGGUUGUGCAACAAGGUCAUGUCAAAUUUACUCUAUUUUUGUGGCAUGUGCGGGGUGGCGA